GGGUUUAGUAGAGGUGAAAGGAUGGCAGGGUAGGUGACAGGGUUUGGCAGAGGUGAGCAGGAGCUGCAGGAGAGGUGACAGGGUUUGGCAGAGGUGAAAGGAUGGCAGGGUAAGUGACAGGGUUUGGUGGUGUGGCAGGGUAGGUGACAGGGUUUGGCAGAGGUGAGCAGGAGCUGCAGGAGAGGUGACAGGGUUUGGCAGAGUUCAGGAGCUACAGGAGAAGUGACGAGGCUUGACAGAUGUGACAGGGUUUGGGGUGGCAGGGUAGGUGAUGGAGUUUGGCAGAAGUGACCAUUUGGGAGGAGUUACAGGACAAGUGACAGGGUUUGACAGGACUGGCAGGGCUUGGUGGUGGUGAUGAGGUUUGGCAGGUAGGUACCAAUAUGCUCCUGGACAGAUCUGGGUGUGGA
Corapipo altera (White-ruffed manakin) is the source of this 410-nucleotide long non-coding RNA. RefSeq lists it as uncharacterized. NCBI's taxonomy places the organism in Eukaryota, Metazoa, Chordata, Aves, Passeriformes, Pipridae. The record is from RefSeq and is a predicted model, not a curated record. The transcript is spliced from 2 exons.